This 431-nucleotide ribosomal RNA is filed under the name uncultured bacterium. Its description in RNAcentral is "partial 16S ribosomal RNA". It matches the Rfam family "Bacterial small subunit ribosomal RNA", at positions 28 to 507 of the family's 1533-position model. The record is from RNAcentral.
GACGAACGCUGGCGGCAGGCUUAACACAUGCAAGUCGAGCGCCCCGCAAGGGGAGCGGCAGACGGGUGAGUAACGCGUGGGAACGUACCUUUUGGUUCGGAACAACUCCGGGAAACUGGAGCUAAUACCGGAUAAGCCCUAACGGGGAAAGAUUUAUCGCCGAAAGAUCGGCCCGCGUCUGAUUAGCUAGUUGGUGAGGUAACGGCUCACCAAGGCGACGAUCAGUAGCUGGUCUGAGAGGAUGAUCAGCCACACUGGGACUGAGACACGGCCCAGACUCCUACGGGAGGCAGCAGUGGGGAAUAUUGGACAAUGGGCGCAAGCCUGAUCCAGCCAUGCCGCGUGAGUGAUGAAGGCCUUAGGGUUGUAAAGCUCUUUUGUCCGGGAAGAUAAUGACUGUACCGGAAGAAUAAGCCCCGGCUAACUUCGUG